RNAcentral lists this ribosomal RNA (253 nucleotides) under uncultured bacterium. Its description in RNAcentral is "partial 16S ribosomal RNA". It matches the Rfam family "Bacterial small subunit ribosomal RNA", at positions 524 to 776 of the family's 1533-position model. The record is from RNAcentral.
UACGGGGGGGGCAAGCGUUGUUCGGAAUUACUGGGCGUAAAGGGCUCGUAGGCGGCCAACUAAGUCAGACGUGAAAUCCCCAGGCUCAACCUGGGAACUGCGUCUGAUACUGGAUGGCUUGAAUCCGGGAGAGGGAUGCAGAAUUCCAGGUGUAGCGGUGAAAUGUGUAGAGAUCGGGAGGAACACCGGUGGCGAAGGCGGGUCUCUGGGCAUCUCCUGACGCUGAGGCGCGAAAGCGUGGGGAGCAAACGGG